UACUCCUACGGGAGGCAGCCGUAGGGAAUUUUCGGCAAUGGGGGCAACCCUGACCGAGCAACGCCGCGUGAGUGAAGAAGGUUUUCGGAUCGUAAAACUCUGUUGUUAGAGAAGAACGUUAAGUAGAGGGAAAAUUACUUAAGUGACGGUAUCUAC
This 156-nucleotide ribosomal RNA is filed under the name Lactococcus sp. enrichment culture DGGE gel band 11. RNAcentral's name for it is "partial 16S ribosomal RNA". It matches the Rfam family "Bacterial small subunit ribosomal RNA", at positions 334 to 482 of the family's 1533-position model. Lineage: Bacteria; Bacillati; Bacillota; Bacilli; Lactobacillales; Streptococcaceae. The record is from RNAcentral.